This 300-nucleotide ribosomal RNA is filed under the name uncultured Bacillus sp. Its description in RNAcentral is "bacterial SSU rRNA". It matches the Rfam family "Bacterial small subunit ribosomal RNA", at positions 496 to 795 of the family's 1533-position model. Lineage: Bacteria; Bacillati; Bacillota; Bacilli; Caryophanales; Bacillaceae. The record is from RNAcentral.
GCUAGAGCCGGGCCAGGAGGCGCGGUAAAACGUGGGGUGCAAGCGUUACUCGGAAAUACUGGGCGUAAAUCGCACGUAGUCGUUUUUCUAAGUCAGAUGUGAAAUCCCCGGGCUUAACCUGGGAACUGCACCUGAUACUGGAAGACUAGAAUGUGGGAGAGGAGAGUGGAAUUUCCGGUGUAGCGGUGAAAUGCAUAGAGAUCGGAAGGAACACCAGUGGCGAAGGCGGCUCUCUGGACCAACAUUGACGCUGAGGUGCGAAAGCGUGGGUAGCAAACAGGAUUAGAUACCCGAGUAGUC